AGAGUUUGAUCAUGGCUCAGGACGAACGCUGGCGGCGUGCUUAACACAUGCAAGUCGAACGGUAAGGCCCUUCGGGGUACACGAGUGGCGAACGGGUGAGUAACACGUGGGUAAUCUGCCCUGCACAUCGGGAUAAGCCUGGGAAACUGGGUCUAAUACCGAAUAGGACCACAGAACACAUGUCCUGUGGUGGAAAGCUUUUGCGGUGUGGGAUGGGUCCGCGGCCUAUCAGCUUGUUGGUGGGGUGAUGGCCCACCAAGGCGACGACGGGUAGCCGGCCUGAGAGGGUGUCCGGCCACACUGGGACUGAGAUACGGCCCAGACUCCUACGGGAGGCAGCAGUGGGGAAUAUUGCACAAUGGGCGAAAGCCUGAUGCAGCGACGCCGCGUGGGGGAUGACGGCCUUCGGGUUGUAAACCUCUUUCACCAUCGACGAAGGUUCGGGUUUUCUCGGAUUGACGGUAGGUGGAGAAGAAGCACCGGCCAACUACGUGCCAGCAGCCGCGGUAAUACGUAGGGUGCGAGCGUUGUCCGGAAUUACUGGGCGUAAAGAGCUCGUAGGUGGUUUGUCGCGUUGUUCGUGAAAUCUCACGGCUUAACUGUGAGCGUGCGGGCGAUACGGGCAGACUUGAGUACUGCAGGGGAGACUGGAAUUCCUGGUGUAGCGGUGGAAUGCGCAGAUAUCAGGAGGAACACCGGUGGCGAAGGCGGGUCUCUGGGCAGUAACUGACGCUGAGGAGCGAAAGCGUGGGGAGCGAACAGGAUUAGAUACCCUGGUAGU
Molecule: ribosomal RNA, 781 nt
Filed under: uncultured bacterium
Lineage: Bacteria
Description: bacterial SSU rRNA
Rfam family: Bacterial small subunit ribosomal RNA
Source: RNAcentral